GACGAACGCUGGCGGCGUGCUUAACACAUGCAAGUCGAACGGAAAGACCCUGCUUUUGUGGGGUGCUCGAGUGGCGAACGGGUGAGUAACACGUGAGUAACCUGCCCUUGACUUUGGGAUAACUUCAGGAAACUGGGGCUAAUACCGGAUAGGAGCUCCUGCUGCAUGGUGGGGGUUGGAAAGUUUCGGCGGUUGGGGAUGGACUCGCGGCUUAUCAGCUUGUUGGUGGGGUAGUGGCUUACCAAGGCUUUGACGGGAAGCCGGCCUGAGAGGGUGACCGGCCACAUUGGGACUGAGAUACGGCCCAGACUCCUACGGGAGGCAGCAGUGGGGAAUAUUGCACAAUGGGCGGAAGCCUGAUGCAGCAACGCCGCGUGCGGGAUGACGGCCUUCGGGUUGUAAACCGCUUUCGCCUGUGACGAAGCGUGAGUGACGGUAAUGGGUAAAGAAGCACCGGCUAACUACGUG
RNAcentral lists this ribosomal RNA (468 nucleotides) under uncultured bacterium. Its description in RNAcentral is "partial 16S ribosomal RNA". It matches the Rfam family "Bacterial small subunit ribosomal RNA", at positions 28 to 507 of the family's 1533-position model. The record is from RNAcentral.